Long non-coding RNA from Triticum aestivum (bread wheat), 1240 nucleotides. RefSeq lists it as uncharacterized. NCBI's taxonomy places the organism in Eukaryota, Viridiplantae, Streptophyta, Magnoliopsida, Poales, Poaceae. The record is from RefSeq and is a predicted model, not a curated record. The transcript has 6 exons.
UCGGGUUCACCGUCACAAUACGCUUUCUUCUCAUGUCAUAAUACGCUUUUACAAUUUGUAUGGACAAAAUCGUAAUCGUAAUAUAAACAAGGUGGUACUAAUAAUUACGUAAAAACCCAAUUUCAUCUCCUGCCUCCCAAUCCCAUCUCGCGGCUUUCUUCGCCGUUCAAAACUCCUCCCUUUCCAGCGACGGCAGCGACGGCGGAGCACGAGCACGUGAGGGGCGGCGCCUUCCUCCCUUUCCAGCGACGGCAGCGACGGCGGAGCACGAGCAGGUGAGGGGCGGCACCUUCGUCGGACGGCUAGCCGCGGCGGAGGAGAAGGCGGACGCCAUGGGUGCGGCUACAGACGAGGCGGAGGAGAAGGCGGACGCCGUGGGCUUGCUGCACGGCUACAGCCGAGGCGGAGGAGAAGGCGGACGCCGUGGGCGUUCAUGGAGGAUGGUACACCGGCCGCCGGCUCCGGCCGCCAGUCCUCUCUGGCCUCCUCCGUGGUAUCCUUCUCAACCUCCGCUGCUCCUAUCGUGAUUUGGAUGGAAAAUUGGAGGCCGGCCGUGUCCUUCUCCAACACAAAUUGAUGUAGUGCCCGACCCGGAUUUGAUUGGCUGCUAUAAGAAGCAAGGGUCCUCGGCCGGAAUCUCCAUCAGUUCGCCGGAGGAAGAAGCGCCGAGUUCGCCGGAGGAACAAGCGCCGAGUUCGCCGGAGGAACAAGAACGCCCGCCGAGUCCUGUGGUGGCUACACGAGAGGCCCUUAAGAUGAGUGAUGAACAUCCGUUGAGCCGUCCAAUGUUGCCUUUGGCAACUACACCAGAGGUGCCAAAGGCAUCCAAUCCAACUCAGGUGGAGGCCAAGGAGGUUCAGCUCUCGGACAUUGCACCAAUAAUGCUGGAUGUACCGACGUGAAGACUAAAAUAGAUGACAUCGCUGAACUGGACAUUGCAGAGGAUUUUGAUAACCGGCCUUCCAAAAAGGCAAAAAUUUCUGAAUCACGUGUACUGGAACCAUCACCUAUGUCACCAACUAUGAAAACAUCUUCUCCAGGUUCAGAGUGUUUUGAAUCGUUUGUGCCGGAAUCAGAUAAUCAGAUGAAUCAUGAUACACUACCAUCACCUCCAUCCCCAUCUAGCUCGACAAUAUCUCCUGUUUUCCCAUUGCAUGAUAUUAAGGAACCAAAUUCACAUAAAGAGAUCAAAGUUGAUGAGACAUAUGAUUAUCUCCCACAAGACUAUACAUUGACUGAC